Agelaius phoeniceus (red-winged blackbird) is the source of this 490-nucleotide long non-coding RNA. RefSeq lists it as uncharacterized. The record is from RefSeq and is a predicted model, not a curated record. Lineage: Eukaryota; Metazoa; Chordata; Aves; Passeriformes; Icteridae.
AGCUCGGUUCGGCGGGGCUGGAUGGAGCUCAGGGGGGCGAGCAGGGCAGGAGCUGGGCCUUGGCACCGUGCUGGGGCAGCAGCUGUCCCUUUGCUGCCCCUUCGCUGUCCCACUGUUUUUUCUUACAGAGAUAUAUAUGGCUCAAGAAGCAGGCACAUGAUCCCAGCAAGAAUUUGCGGAGUUGUACGACGACAGAUCUUGGCUGCAGCUUUGUCAUGAACCAGGAAUGAGCCAGACCUUAGCAGAAGAGAUGAACAAGUUCUUGGGGAAAACCCAUGAAGCUACAAGGAGAAGCCUUCUGCCCUCCCCUCACUCACCCCUCUCCUGGUCUGGCCAGGGUUCUCAAAGUCCAUUCUUUGGGUUGCUUUAACUGGAUUGAGCUUAGGGUCUGCCUCAGAUUGUGAAUUCUGAUGAGAUUUCAGGACAUUUUCUGUAUAAUAUUUUCUGCAUUAGACAGGAUAAAAAUGAAAUAAACCUACAGUCCUUUGCA